This 470-nucleotide long non-coding RNA is filed under the name Salmo salar (Atlantic salmon). Its description in RNAcentral is "lncRNA (ENSSSAG00000099382.1, ENSSSAG00020049461.1)". Lineage: Eukaryota; Metazoa; Chordata; Actinopteri; Salmoniformes; Salmonidae. The record is from RNAcentral.
AAUAAACUACAGAUCAACUGGGACCGCUGGUUGACAUUCCUUUCUUGACAAGCAAGAGUUACGAAGCACGAUCACAUCUGUUACAGUGACUGUGAGGAGCUUGUUCAAAGUGGAGAAAAUGCCUUGGAUUCAGAGCAAGCAAUCAUGACUUAAUUAGAAAGCAGCAGGAAUCUUAUCGCGUCAAAUUAGCACCCGGCAGAUUCCUGCUACAAAGAACCAGGCAACCGAAAAAGCCUGGAGACAGGCUGAUUGGUGCUGCGAGCCCUACACAGUAUGGUGUCUCGAGCAUGGCUGUAUGUGGGCUCUGGGUCUACCGAACGAACGCCUCUGCCAGUCUGUCUGGAUGUAAACUGUAUUUAAUGGUGUAUGAACAUCAAAGCGAUGGGGGUGGCAUUCAAAAUAAACACAUUUCAUUUAAUGCAGUUCGAUGGAAUUUUAUGAUGAAAGUGAUGAACAUCUCUCACUUCUGG